AGUGGGGGAUAACACGGGGAAACUCGUGCUAAUACCGCAUACGUCCUACGGGAGAAAGCGGGGGAUCUUUGGACCUCGCGCUAAUAGAUGAGCCUAUGCCGGAUUAGCUAGUUGGUAGGGUAAAGGCCUACCAAGGCGACGAUCCGUAGCUGGUCUGAGAGGAUGAUCAGCCACACUGGGACUGAGACACGGCCCAGACUCCUACGGGAGGCAGCAGUGGGGAAUAUUGGACAAUGGGCGCAAGCCUGAUCCAGCCAUGCCGCGUGUGUGAAGAAGGCCUUCGGGUUGUAAAGCACUUUAAGUGGGGAGGAAGGUUAGUGGUUUAAUACGCUACUAAAUUGACGUUACCCACAGAAUAAGCACCGGCUAACUCUGUGCCAGCAGCCGCGGUAAUACAGAGGGUGCAAGCGUUAAUCGGAAUUACUGGGCGUAAAGCGCGCGUAGGUGGUUUUGUAAGUUGAAUGUGAAAUCCCCGGGCUUAACCUGGGAAUGGCAUCCAAAACUGCACGACUAGAGUAUGGGAGAGGGAGGUAGAAUUCCAGGUGUAGCGGUGAAAUGCGUAGAGAUCUGGAGGAAUACCGGUGGCGAAGGCGGCCUCCUGGCCUAAUACUGACACUGAGGUGCGAAAGCGUGGGUAGCAAACAGGAUUAGAUACCCUGGUAGUCCACGCCGUAAACGAUGAGAACUAGCCGUUGGUCUCCUUGAGAGGUUAGUGGCGCAGCUAACGCGAUAAGUUCUCCGCCUGGGGAGUACGGCCGCAAGGUUAAAACUCAAAUGAAUUGACGGGGGCCCGCACAAGCGGUGGAGCAUGUGGUUUAAUUCGACGCAACGCGAAGAACCUUACCUGUCUUGACAUCCACGGAAUCCUGCAGAGAUGUGGGAGUGCCUUCGGGAACCGUGAGACAGGUGCUGCAUGGCUGUCGUCAGCUCGUGUUGUGAAAUGUUGGGUUAAGUCCCGUAACGAGCGCAACCCUUGUCCUUAGUUGCCAGCGAGUAAUGUCGGGAACACUAAGGAGACUGCCGGUGACAAACCGGAGGAAGGUGGGGACGACGUCAAGUCAUCAUGGCCCUUACGACCAGGGCUACACACGUGCUACAAUGGCCGGUACAGAGGGUUGCCAAGCCGCGAGGUGGAGCCAAUCCCGAAAAGCCGGUCGUAGUCCGGAUUGCAGUCUGCAACUCGACUGCAUGAAGUCGGAAUCGCUAGUAAUCGCAGAUCAGAAUGCUGCGGUGAAUACGUUCCCGGGCCUUGUACACACCGCCCGUCACACCAUGGGAGUGGGUUGCACCAGAAGUAGUUAGCUUAACCGCAAGGGGAGCGAUUACCACGGUGUGAUUCAUGACUGGGGUGAAGUCGUAACAAGGUA
RNAcentral lists this ribosomal RNA (1367 nucleotides) under metagenome. RNAcentral's name for it is "bacterial SSU rRNA". It matches the Rfam family "Bacterial small subunit ribosomal RNA", at positions 135 to 1498 of the family's 1533-position model. The record is from RNAcentral.